CAGGCUUAACACAUGCAAGUCGAGGGGCAGCAUGGUCUUAGCUUGCUAAGGCCGAUGGCGACCGGCGCACGGGUGAGUAACACGUAUCCAACCUGCCGUCUACUCUUGGACAGCCUUCUGAAAGGAAGAUUAAUACAAGAUGGCAUCAUGAGUCCGCAUGUUCACAUGAUUAAAGGUAUUCCGGUAGACGAUGGGGAUGCGUUCCAUUAGAUAGUAGGCGGGGUAACGGCCCACCUAGUCUUCGAUGGAUAGGGGUUCUGAGAGGAAGGUCCCCCACAUUGGAACUGAGACACGGUCCAAACUCCUACGGGAGGCAGCAAUGAGGAAUAUUGGUCAAUGGGCGAGAGCCUGAACCAGCCAAGUAGCGUGAAGGAUGACUGCCCUAUGGGUUGUAAACUUCUUUUAUAAAGGAAUAAAGUCGGGUAUGGAUACCCGUUUGCAUGUACUUUAUGAAUAAGGAUCGGCUAACUCCGUGCCAGCAGCCGCGGUAGUACGGAGGAUCCGAGCGUUAUCCGGAUUUAUUGGGUUUAAAGGGAGCGUAGAUGGAUGUUUAAGUCAGUUGUGAAAGUUUGCGGCUCAACCGUAAAAUUGCAGUUGAUACUGGAUAUCUUGAGUGCAGUUGAGGCAGGCGGAAUUCGUGGUGUAGCGGUGAAAUGCUUAGAUAUCACGAAGAACUCCGAUUGCGAAGGCAGCCUGCUAAGCUGCAACUGACAUUGAGGCUCGAAAGUGUGGGUAUCAAACAGGAUUAGAUACCCUGGUAGUCCACACGGUAAACGAUGAAUACUCGCUGUUUGCGAUAUACAGCAAGCGGCCAAGCGAAAGCGUUAAGUAUUCCACCUGGGGAGUACGCCGGCAACGGUGAAACUCAAAGGAAUUGACGGGGGCCCGCACAAGCGGAGGAACAUGUGGUUUAAUUCGAUGAUACGCGAGGAACCUUACCCGGGCUUAAAUUGCAGAUGAAUUACGGUGAAAGCCGUAAGCCGCAAGGCAUCUGUGAAGGUGCUGCAUGGUUGUCGUCAGCUCGUGCCGUGAGGUGUCGGCUUAAGUGCCAUAACGAGCGCAACCCUUGUUGUCAGUUACUAACAGGUCCCGCUGAGGACUCUGACAAGACUGCCAUCGUAAGAUGUGGGGAAGGUGGGGAUGACGUCAAAUCAGCACGGCCCUUACGUCCGGGGCUACACACGUGUUACAAUGGGGGGUACAGAGGGCCGCUACCACGCGAGUGGAUGCCAAUCCCCAAAACCUCUCUCAGUUCGGACUGGAGUCUGCAACCCGACUCCACGAAGCUGGAUUCGCUAGUAAUCGCGCAUCAGCCACGGCGCGGUGAAUACGUUCCCGGGCCUUGUACACACCGCCCGUCAAGCCAUGGGAGCCGGGGGUACCUGAAGUGCGUAACCGCGAGGAGCGCCCUAGGGUAAAACUGGUGACUGGGGCUAAGUC
RNAcentral lists this ribosomal RNA (1440 nucleotides) under uncultured organism. RNAcentral's name for it is "16S ribosomal RNA". It matches the Rfam family "Bacterial small subunit ribosomal RNA". The record is from RNAcentral.